ACUUGGAGGAUGUAUAGCAAUAGCUACUUGCAUCAUUGUACAGAUGAUGCAAGAUCGACUAUGUCGAAUAAAAUUCUAGGUAGAAUUAUGAUAAUGACAUUGUCUGCCUAUGUGUCUUGACCAAAUUACGUGCCAGCAGUCGCGGUAAUACGUAGAAGACUAGUGUUAUUCAUGUUUAAUCGGUUUAAAGGGUACCUAGAAGGUAAAUCAAGCUUUUAGAUAGAAAAUAUGUAUAAGAUCUGAUAGAAAUAAAAAUCUUACAAUUAAAGGACUAAUUUACUAGAGUUACUUACGAGGGGGUAUUAAAGUACUGCUGGUGUAGAGAUGAAAUUCUGUCAUACCUCUUUUCGAAAGAAAAAUCAUGGCACAGGUAUAGGCGAAGGCAUCCCCUUAUGUGAUAACUGACGUUGAGGCCGAAGGCUUCGUGUAACAAACAGGAUUAGAUACCCUAGUAGUUGAAGCAGAAAAUGAUGAAUGUCAUAGAUUAGAUAUAUAAGUUUAUUCUAUAAAUGAAAGUGUAAGCAUUCCACCUCAUGAGUAAUUUGGCAACAUUGGAACUGAAAUCAUUAGACCGUUUCUGAAACCAGUAGUGAAGUAUGUUGUUUAAUUUGAUGAUCCGCAAAAAACCUUACCACAAUUUGAAUAUUUAUAUUUUUUAUUAUUGUUUUCUUCUUAAUUUUCUUCUAAUAACAUAUUCAACAUGUAAAAAGAAGAAAGUUAAUAAAGAGGCAAUAAUAUAUAUUUACAAGCGUUGCACGGCUGUCUUCAGUUAAUGUCGCGAGACUUUGGUUAGUUCCAUUAAAUUAACGUAAACCCUUACUUUAUUUUUAGAUAGAGUAGUUCCCCGCUAUAUUGGAUCUGAUAACAGGGACUAAGACAAGUCAUCAUGGCCUAAAUAUUGU
RNAcentral lists this ribosomal RNA (902 nucleotides) under Nesolechia oxyspora. RNAcentral's name for it is "SSU rRNA". It matches the Rfam family "Bacterial small subunit ribosomal RNA", at positions 399 to 1210 of the family's 1533-position model. Lineage: Eukaryota; Fungi; Ascomycota; Lecanoromycetes; Lecanorales; Parmeliaceae. The record is from RNAcentral.